Long non-coding RNA from Papaver somniferum (opium poppy), 777 nucleotides. RefSeq lists it as uncharacterized. The record is from RefSeq and is a predicted model, not a curated record. NCBI's taxonomy places the organism in Eukaryota, Viridiplantae, Streptophyta, Magnoliopsida, Ranunculales, Papaveraceae. The transcript has 4 exons.
CUAAGGAUUUUUGGGUCUUUGAUACUGUGAACCAAACUUAAGAGGGGUAAAAACUCUUUUUCUUGGAAAUCUCUGACAAACUCCUCUCUCAAAACCAGAGUUUUCUUCCCAACCAUUUCACACAGUCAAGAAGUUUUUGAUUUGGUAAAGGAGAAUUUAAACUCAACCCAUCAUCUGUUUUUCGGUUGAAGAUCUAUCUGCACAGAGUACGAAGAGAAGUUGCAGCAGUAAGCCGGGCAGAGCUUACGGAAAGCUGUUAGCGCUUGAAAAUGUCUGUGUCGGUAGCAUCAAGCUCUGUACGUAAGAAAAGAAAUCUCAACAAGAGGACAACACGCCUUGAGAAUGGUUUUGAAAAACUGUUGGGUUCUGUCAACACUGUUGCCGAAGCUAGUUGAAGAGUACGAAGAGAAGUUGCAGCAGUAAGCCGGGCAGAGCUUACGGAAAGCUGUUAGCGCUUGAAAGUUAGUAUUUUGUUAAUCUUUUGAUAUUGUAUAUCACGGGGUACCUGGGUAGUUUAGUUUGUUUUCCUCGAUCCCAUUCCAUUUUUGUAUAUUUUACCGCUAUCAUUGGGAUCUUGUAAAUGAUCUUUUUAUGGUCUUUGUUUUUAAAUAUUUAUGUGUAGCAGAUAUCAAUUAACUUAGCUUAACCAUGCAGUAUGCAUCCUACAUAUUUUACAUUUGUAUUUAGUUUGGAUUUGCCUAGACUACAUUUAUAACUGGGUGCUUGAAAUGUCUAAGUGUGACUCAUAAAUAGCAGAUGAUAAGAUGUUUUUAUUAA